Molecule: long non-coding RNA, 1710 nt
Organism: Mus pahari (shrew mouse)
Lineage: Eukaryota; Metazoa; Chordata; Mammalia; Rodentia; Muridae
Exons: 3
Source: RefSeq, a predicted model, not a curated record
GGGGCCUGUUGCUUGGUGAUAUUCCUGCCUGGCUACAGCCCCUGGUCCCCUAAGAGCAUGAAUGGGAAACUGCAGAGGCAGAUUCAGGAAUUACCGGUAUGCUACAAAACCCUGCUGUCCACUGGCCACACGUGUCCCUUGGACAUGAAAUAGAGCCAGAAUGAGCGGAGAUGGGCUCAUAGGUAACUGAGGCGACAAGCGAGGCUCCUGUUAGAAUUCGAUGGGACGGUGCUGCUGCAGAGGGGCUGGGUCUCACCCAGACGCCGUGACCGCCGUGUGCCAGCUGGAGACCGAGAAGCGAGGAGGGAGAGUGUGCUGUACUGGGAAGGACUGUCUAGGAAAAGAUGGACCCUCAUGGGGUCAAGGGUCAGGCCUACAAGUUUGGGCAAGGACCCAAGCAAGAGCUGUCAGGGCACGACACUCAGUGUGCUGUGAACAUGUGUUUCCCCGUGUGUGUGUGUGUGUGUGUGUGUGUGUGUGUGUGUGCGCGCGUGUGCGCGAGUGCACGCGCGUGUAAGCGCACCAGUCAUGUAGGAAAUAUGUGUACAGUGUAGAGUGUAUGUGUGGACAGAUGGUAUAUGUAUAGUUAGGAAUGUAUAUCUGAGGCAUGGAAAAAUCAAAUGGAUGAUGGCUACGCCUGUAGGGUAGAGUGGGUCUGUGCAGGCCGUGGAGCACGGGGAUCUUGUGUGUGAGCACAAGUGGGUAUGUGCCUGUCCACAAUGAGACAGACAUGGGUUGUGAGGCGGAAGGUGUGUGCGAAGCUCUGAGGCACAGGUGGAGUCAGAGAUGUGCACGGGGCGUGAGGGGCGGUGUGGGAAGCUACGGAGCAUGAACUAAGUGUGGAGAGAGUGUGAACACAUGCCUGCUCUCACAUGCUGGCUGCAUGGUCAGUGGACAUAGGCCAUUCUGGGCUAGAGGAAGCAAGGUGGGUCCCUGGCUGAUUCCUUGGAGCUAUUAGCCCUGUCUGGGCCAACAAGAAAACAGUGUGUGAAAACCCAGUGUGGUGGGGAUGGAAAGUUCUUGUAACUGGGUAUGACUCAGCGUGAAGGUGGCUCUCCUUACUGUCCCCUGACAGCUCUGUCUGGGUCCUUGCCCGAACAUGUGGGCCUGACCCUUGACCUGUAAGGAUCCAUUCUUCCCUCAAUAUAAAUUCCCAGCCCAGUACGUUCUCCUCACUCUCCCCCAAUCUCUGGCUUCUACACUGCAAACCUUCCCGGGGACAGGAGUCAAAAUGGGAACGAAGUCCAUAUACCACUGGGACACAGGAACCCUGAGCCCCUCUUCUGUGCCCUGUCCUGUCCUCUGGACUGCCAAGUGGCCUGGCCCCUGGCCCAGGCAGGAUGGUAACUGAGAAAUUUCAGAAAGAUCUUGCACAAUUGGUGGGUGGCCUCUGUACCUGGUGACCACAGCCAUUGAUCUACUCAGCCUGAGGGAGGGGCUGACCCCAGGACAGCAAGGAUCUAAGAUCCCCAAGAUCUCAGAGGCUGGAGCCAUGGCUGGGGUGUCUGGCCCUCCCUCAUCCUCUGCUUUUCUCUGCUUGUCCCCACAGCAGAGAAAAUAGGGACAUACUUCCACAUAGAUGCCACAAAGGUCUCAGUGCUCCUGGGACUCUGUACGGCACAGGACUACUGGUCAGGCUCCUGGGUCCCUAUACUCACAGGCCUGGCUGCUAUAGGUAGGGGUGGGCACACAUAAUGGCAGAUACAGGCC